Molecule: ribosomal RNA, 467 nt
Filed under: uncultured bacterium
Lineage: Bacteria
Description: partial 16S ribosomal RNA
Rfam family: Bacterial small subunit ribosomal RNA
Source: RNAcentral
GACGAACGCUGGCGGCGUGCUUAACACAUGCAAGUCGAACGGAAAGGCCCUGCUUUUGUGGGGUGCUCGAGUGGCGAACGGGUGAGUAACACGUGAGUAACCUGCCCUUGACUUUGGGAUAACUUCAGGAAACUGGGGCUAAUACCGGAUAGGAGCUCCUGCUGCAUGGUGGGGGUUGGAAAGUUUCGGCGGUUGGGGAUGGACUCGCGGCUUAUCAGCUUGUUGGUGGGGUAGUGGCUUACCAAGGCUUUGACGGGUAGCCGGCCUGAGAGGGUGACCGGCCACAGUGGGACUGGGAUACGGCCCAGACUCCUACGGGCGGCAGCAGUGGGGACUAUUGCACAAUGGGCGGAAGCCUGAUGCAGCAACGCCGCGUGCGGGAUGACGGCCUUCGGGGUGUAAACCGCUUUCGCCUGUGACGAAGCGUGAGUGACGGUACUGGGUAAAGAAGCACCGGCUAACUACGU